GGUCAAGAGUCCCAGCGACAAGCCCCGGCUUGCUGGGCGGCAACCCUCCUCGCGGUGGGGUGCCCCGGGUGAAGACACGGCACGUCGGCGCCGACGUGCAAGCGCGACUC
RNAcentral lists this non-coding RNA (110 nucleotides) under Knoellia sinensis. RNAcentral describes it as "SAM-IV sequence". It matches the Rfam family "SAM (S-adenosyl methionine) riboswitch aptamer". Rfam says of the family: SAM-IV is a mRNA element that regulates gene expression via direct sensing of S-adenosylmethionine (SAM or AdoMet). SAM-IV riboswitches share conserved nucleotide positions with the previously described SAM-I riboswitches sequence analysis and molecular recognition experiments suggest that SAM-I and SAM-IV riboswitches share similar ligand binding sites, but have different scaffolds. The record is from RNAcentral. Lineage: Bacteria; Bacillati; Actinomycetota; Actinomycetes; Micrococcales; Intrasporangiaceae.